UAUUCUUAUAGUUUAAAUAAAACAAUUUAAUUUCAAUAAAUAAUUAGAUAAAAUCUUAAGAAUU
RNAcentral lists this transfer RNA (64 nucleotides) under Olidiana sp. 15062716. RNAcentral describes it as "tRNA-Glu". Lineage: Eukaryota; Metazoa; Arthropoda; Insecta; Hemiptera; Cicadellidae. The record is from RNAcentral.